AUUUCGGAGAAGGAGCCUGAGAGACGGCUACUACAUCUAAGGAAGGCAGCAGGCGCGCAAAUUUCCCAAUGCUCAUCGAGCGAGGAAGUGACGAUCAAUAACAAUGUGCGACUUUUUACAAGUUGUGCAAUUGGAAUGACUACAAUUUAAAGAGUUUAAGGAGGAUCAAUUGGAGGGCAAGUCUGGUGCCAGCAGCCGCGGUAAUUCCAGCUCCAAUAGGAUAUAUCAAAGUUGUUGCAGUUGAAAAGCUCGUAGUUUAAGCUUUGAAAAGUUUCUUUUACUAGGCAAGUGGUGAGAAAUCGCAGCUUGUUUUGGUAAAGCUUUUCACAUUGUGGGUCAAACUUGUUUCAUUUGGUGGUUUACUCUAUUGAAUGACAAGCCACUCCGUCACUGAGAGCAAAUUGGAGUGCUCAAAGCAGGCUUUAUAGCUUUGAACACAUUAGCUUGGAAUGACAAGAUAUGACUUUGGUCUUAUUUUGUUGGUUAUUAGACUGAAGUAAUGAUUAACAGGAACAGUAGCGGGGGUACUCGUAUUGAAAGGUCAGAGGUGAAAUUCUUGGAUUCUUUCAAGACGAACGACUGCGAAAGCAUUUACCAAGGAUGUUUUCAUUAAUCAAGAACGAAAGCUUGGGGAUCGAAGAUGAUUAGAUACCAUCGUAGUCCAACGCCAUAAACGAUGCCGACUCGGGAUUGGUAGUAGUUUUACAUUCAAAAAGAAACUCUAUCAGCACCGUAUGAGAAAUCAAAGUCUUUGGGUUCCGGGGGGAGUAUAGUCGCAAGGAAGAAACUUAAAGGAAUUGACGGAAGGGCACACCAGAGGUGGAGCCUGCGGUUUAAUUUGACCCAACACGGGGAAACUUACCAGGUCCAGACAUGAUGAGGAUUGACAGUUUGAAAGCACUUUCUUGAUUUCAUGGGUGGUGGUGCAUGGCCGUUCUUAGUUGGUGGAGUGAUUUGUCUGGUUGAUUCCGAUAACGAACGAGACGGGGGGAGUUUACUAGUUUUCCGCGUUAAUUCACGUUAGCGCAAACUUCUUUACUCGACAACUCGGUUUUACCGAGAGGAAGCGCCCCGCAAUAACAGGUCUGUGAUGCCCUUAGAUGUUCUGGGCUACACGCGCGCUACAAUGACGAGUUCAACGAGUUUUUUUUCCUUGCCCGGAAGGGCAUGGGUAAUCUUUUCAAUGCUCGUCGUGAUGGGGCUAGAUUUUUGCAAUUAUUAAUCUUCAACGAGGAAUCUCUAGUAUGUGCAGUUCAUCAGACUGCGCAGAAUGCGUCCCUGCCCUUUGUACACACCGCCCGUCGCACCUACCGAUUGGACGAUCCGGCAAGAUGUUUGGAGUGUGGGUUCUUGAUGUAAAAGUUGAGAACUUAUGCGAAGCUCUUCAAACCUUAUCGUCUAGAGGAAGGUGAAGUCGUAACAAGGUCUCCGUAGGUGAACCUGCGGAGG
Molecule: ribosomal RNA, 1449 nt
Filed under: metagenome
Description: SSU rRNA
Rfam family: Eukaryotic small subunit ribosomal RNA
Source: RNAcentral